Macadamia integrifolia is the source of this 477-nucleotide long non-coding RNA. RefSeq lists it as uncharacterized. The record is from RefSeq and is a predicted model, not a curated record. The transcript has 2 exons. Lineage: Eukaryota; Viridiplantae; Streptophyta; Magnoliopsida; Proteales; Proteaceae.
AGUUAGAAUAUCUGAUAAAUGCUGUUGGUCAAUCCAGAUGUAGGUUGGAGAUAUUACACUACAGAUGGUUGGACACAAAGAUCAUUGUUCAUGGCAUUUCCUAGAGUGGGUCUAUUGAGUGGGUCUGCUACUUCUGCUGAUGGCAAUGCCGGAGGUGGAGCGAUAGUAGAGGGUUGGGCCAAGAGAGGAUCUGAAGCAACUUCAUUGAUGGAGGACUGGAGUCUGUGGUUGAACAGGGACAACAUAUAUACCAUGAACAAACGCAGCCAUAGAGAAUUUUUUUUUUUUUUUUUAGUAAGGUUUAGGGUGUGCACAUGAAGGUAUCUACCGUUUGAUAUUGUUCUUACUUUGUUGAUGUAAUUUGGGAUGUCCUCCCUUACAAAGACUAUUUUCUUUGGUCUUAAUGAAAUGUAUAAAUGUAAAUAAUUAAGUUAUCCAUGUAACAAUGGAAGAUGAUGUUUCUAUUUUUAAAAAUCA